This 251-nucleotide ribosomal RNA is filed under the name uncultured prokaryote. RNAcentral describes it as "partial 16S rRNA". It matches the Rfam family "Bacterial small subunit ribosomal RNA", at positions 525 to 775 of the family's 1533-position model. The record is from RNAcentral.
ACGGAGGGUGCAAGCGUUAAUCGGAAUUACUGGGCGUAAAGCGCACGCAGGCGGUUCGAUAAGUCAGAUGUGAAAGCCCCGGGCUCAACCUGGGAACUGCAUUUGAAACUGUCGGACUAGAGUCUUGUAGAGGGGGGUAGAAUUCCAGGUGUUGGGGGUGAAUGCGGUAGAGACCGGAAGAAUUCCCGUGGCGGAGGGCGCCCCCUGGACAAAGACUGACGCUCAGGUGCGAAAGCGUGGGGAGCAAACAG